Molecule: non-coding RNA, 74 nt
Organism: Jeotgalibacillus malaysiensis
Lineage: Bacteria; Bacillati; Bacillota; Bacilli; Caryophanales; Caryophanaceae
Source: Rfam
GGACCUUUAGCUCAGCUGGUUAGAGCAGACGGCUCAUAACCGUCCGGUCGCAGGUUCGAGUCCUGCAAGGUCCA